UAAAGCGUUGGUUUUGUAUCACGUGAAUCCUAUCAACCAAUCAGAAAUAGCGCGGGCGAAACGAAAAAAGAAAAAACGCGAUUGGAAAUGGAUGGUUAAUAAAAUUCAGAAUAUUGCAAAACAAGGACAGUGUAUACAGCGUGUUUAAAUCUUCCAGAAAUGCAGCUGUGCCCUCUUUACAGCAGUUAUAGAUGAAGCAAAGUAUGGUAGCAAGUAAUAUAGAUGUAAGUUCACGUAUAUACAUUGUUGUAUUUUGUGAAUAAAAUAAGACAAUUACACGGACGUACUGUCUGUAAGCGAUUUAUUAAGCCAUACUUCUAUAGACAUCCAAACGUGAUCAAGUUCGCAGAAUUAUUUUCCUCAGAUUCAGAAACAAUCUUGACACCAUUAGCCAUAAUGGCCGGAAAAGUCAUAACAUACCUUAAUCUUAUUCGAUAGUCAAACCUUACUAGCGCCUUUUCAAAAAGUAAAGAGAUACUGGUGCAACAGCUUUUUGAAACUUAAUUUAAAAAAAAAAAAAGAUAGAAAAAAUUCCGUCUCGCCUUAUGUAAACAUACCGUUUUACAACGUUUACAAUUAAAAUUACUCAAGCGAAAGAUUCCGAUUCCGCGUUACAUAAUAUAGAUCAUUUUAGCCGUGUCGCGACGGGGCCAACGUGGUGGGUUUGCGGCCGGCAUGGAUCCGGACCGGCCUGCGCUUACAAACCCUAUUACAAGUACAGAAACUGUUAGCGAGCAGCGUGGAUCCUGAUCGGACUGCGCGGGUGCGCGGGCUGGUCUGGAUCCAUGCUGGUCGCGGGCCCAUUGUGUUGGUUUUGUCGUGACGCGGCUCAU
Molecule: long non-coding RNA, 833 nt
Organism: Ruditapes philippinarum (Manila clam)
Lineage: Eukaryota; Metazoa; Mollusca; Bivalvia; Venerida; Veneridae
Exons: 2
Source: RefSeq, a predicted model, not a curated record